UAAUACCAGCACCCCGAGUGGUCGGGACGAUUAUUGGGCCUAAAGCAUCCGUAGCCGGUUUUACAAGUCCUCCGUUAAAUCCAACUGCUUAACAGAUGGGCCGCGGAGGAUACUAUAAGACUAGGAGGCAGGAGAGGCAAGCGGUACUCAGUGGGUAGGGGUAAAAUCCUCUGAUCCACUGAANACCACCAGUGGCGAAGGCGGCUUGCCAGAACGCGCUCGACGGUGAGGGAUGAAAGCUGGGGGAGCAAACCGGAUUAGAUACCCGGGUAGUCCCAGCUGUAAACGAUGCAGACUCGGUGAUGGGUUGGCUUUGCGCCAACCCAGUGCCGCAGGGAAGCCGUUAAGUCUGCCGCCUGGGGAGUACGGUCGCNAGACUGAAACUUAAAGGAAUUGGCGGGGGACACCACAAGGGGUGAACCUGCGGUUCAAUUGGAGUCNACGCCGGNAAUCUUACCNGGNGCGANAGCAGUGUGAAUGUCCAGCUGAANACUUUUACCAGACAAGCUGAGAGGAGGUGCAUGGCCGUCGCCAGCUCGUGCCGUGAGGUGUCCUGUUAAGUCAGGUAACGAGCAAGAUCCCUGCCUCUAGUUGCUACCACCGUUCUCAGGAACGGAGGGGCUAAUUAGAGGGACCGCCGCCGCUGAGGCGGAGGAAGGAGGGGGUACGGCAGGUCAGUAUGCCCCGAAACCCUCGGGCCACACGCGGGCUGCAAUGGUAAGGACAGCGGGUCCCGAUCCCGAAAGGGGGAGGCAAUCCCACAAACCCUACCUCAGUUAUGAUUGAGGGCUGAAACUCGCCCUCANGAAUAUGGAAUCCNUAGUAACCGCGUGUCAUCAUCGCGCGGUGAAUACGUCCCUGCUCCUUGCACACACCGCCCGUCGCUUCACCGAAGCUGGUUCUUGGCGAGGUGGCGCCUAAUUGGCGCUAUCGAACCUGGGGUCAGCAACGGGGGAG
This 957-nucleotide ribosomal RNA is filed under the name uncultured crenarchaeote. RNAcentral's name for it is "bacterial SSU rRNA". It matches the Rfam family "Archaeal small subunit ribosomal RNA", at positions 471 to 1429 of the family's 1478-position model. The record is from RNAcentral. Lineage: Archaea; Thermoproteati; Thermoproteota.